GACGAACGCUGGCGGCGUGCUUAACACAUGCAAGUCGAACGGAAAGGCCCUGCUUUUGUGGGGUGCUCGAGUGGCGAACGGGUGAGUAACACGUGAGUAACCUGCCCUUGACUUUGGGAUAACUUCAGGAAACUGGGGCUAAUACCGGAUAGGAGCUCCUGCUGCAUGGUGGGGGUUGGAAAGUUUCGGCGGUUGGGGAUGGACUCGCGGCUUAUCAGCUUGUUGGUGGGGUAGUGGCUUACCAAGGCUUUGACGGGUAGCCGGCCUGAGAGGGUGACCGGCCACCUUGGGACUGCGAUACGCCCCAGACUCCUACGGGGGGCAGCGGUGGGGAAUAUUGCACAGUGAGCGGGAGCCUGAUGCAGCAACGCCGGGUGCGGGAGGACGGCCUUCGGGUUGUGAACCGCUUUCGGCUGUGACGAAGCGUGUGUGACGGUAAUGAGUGAAGAAGCACCGGCUAACUACGUG
This 468-nucleotide ribosomal RNA is filed under the name uncultured bacterium. RNAcentral describes it as "partial 16S ribosomal RNA". It matches the Rfam family "Bacterial small subunit ribosomal RNA", at positions 28 to 507 of the family's 1533-position model. The record is from RNAcentral.